GACGAACGCUGGCGGCGUGCUUAACACAUGCAAGUCGAACGAGAGCGUAGAGAAAGCUUGCUUUUUCUACAAUCUAGUGGCAAACGGGUGAGUAACGCGUAAACAGCCUGCCCUACGGAUGGGGACAACAGCUGGAAACGGCUGCUAAUACCGAAUACGUUCCGAAAGUCGCAUGACUAUCGGAAGAAAGGAUGGCCUCUAUUUAUAAGCUAUCGCCGGAGGAGGGGUUUGCGUCUGAUUAGCUAGUUGGAGGGGUAACGGCCCACCAAGGCGACGAUCAGUAGCCGGUCUGAGAGGAUGAACGGCCACAUUGGAACUGAGACACGGUCCAGACUCCUACGGGAGGCAGCAGUGGGGAAUCUUCCGCAAUGGGCGAAAGCCUGACGGAGCAACGCCGCGUGAGUGAAGACGGCCUUCGGGUUGUAAAGCUCUGUUAUACGGGACGAAAAAUCUUGUGGUUAAUACCCAUGAGAAGUGACGGUACCGUAAGAGAAAGCCACGGCUAACUACGUG
This 513-nucleotide ribosomal RNA is filed under the name uncultured bacterium. Its description in RNAcentral is "partial 16S ribosomal RNA". It matches the Rfam family "Bacterial small subunit ribosomal RNA", at positions 28 to 507 of the family's 1533-position model. The record is from RNAcentral.